RNAcentral lists this ribosomal RNA (511 nucleotides) under Shigella sonnei. Its description in RNAcentral is "bacterial SSU rRNA". It matches the Rfam family "Bacterial small subunit ribosomal RNA", at positions 1 to 501 of the family's 1533-position model. Lineage: Bacteria; Pseudomonadati; Pseudomonadota; Gammaproteobacteria; Enterobacterales; Enterobacteriaceae. The record is from RNAcentral.
AAAUUGAAGAGUUUGAUCAUGGCUCAGAUUGAACGCUGGCGGCAGGCCUAACACAUGCAAGUCGAACGGUAACAGGAAGCAGCUUGCUGCUUCGCUGACGAGUGGCGGACGGGUGAGUAAUGUCUGGGAAACUGCCUGAUGGAGGGGGAUAACUACUGGAAACGGUAGCUAAUACCGCAUAACGUCGCAAGACCAAAGAGGGGGACCUUCGGGCCUCUUGCCAUCGGAUGUGCCCAGAUGGGAUUAGCUUGUUGGUGGGGUAACGGCUCACCAAGGCGACGAUCCCUAGCUGGUCUGAGAGGAUGACCAGCCACACUGGAACUGAGACACGGUCCAGACUCCUACGGGAGGCAGCAGUGGGGAAUAUUGCACAAUGGGCGCAAGCCUGAUGCAGCCAUGCCGCGUGUAUGAAGAAGGCCUUCGGGUUGUAAAGUACUUUCAGCGGGGAGGAAGGGAGUAAAGUUAAUACCUUUGCUCAUUGACGUUACCCGCAGAAGAAGCACCGGCUAAC